CGUGUAGGCGGCUAGACAAGUCAGAUGUGAAAUCCCUGGGCUUAACCCAGGAAGUGCAUUUGAAACUGUCCUGCUAGAGUAAGGGAGAGGAAAGUGGAAUUCCUGGUGUAGAGGUGAAAUUCGUAGAUAUCAGGAGGAACACCGGUGGCGAAGGCGACUUUCUGGCCCUAUACUGACGCUGAGACGCGAAAGCGUGGGUAGCAACA
This 206-nucleotide ribosomal RNA is filed under the name uncultured delta proteobacterium. Its description in RNAcentral is "partial 16S ribosomal RNA". It matches the Rfam family "Bacterial small subunit ribosomal RNA", at positions 568 to 773 of the family's 1533-position model. Lineage: Bacteria; Deltaproteobacteria. The record is from RNAcentral.